This 1553-nucleotide ribosomal RNA is filed under the name Anaerobacillus isosaccharinicus. RNAcentral describes it as "Anaerobacillus sp. NB2006 Bacterial small subunit ribosomal RNA". It matches the Rfam family "Bacterial small subunit ribosomal RNA". The record is from Rfam by way of RNAcentral. Lineage: Bacteria; Bacillati; Bacillota; Bacilli; Caryophanales; Bacillaceae.
UUUAUGGAGAGUUUGAUCCUGGCUCAGGACGAACGCUGGCGGCGUGCCUAAUACAUGCAAGUCGAGCGGACAAUUGAGAGCUUGCUCUCAAUUGUUAGCGGCGGACGGGUGAGUAACACGUGGGCAACCUGCCCUGUAGACUGGGAUAACUUCGGGAAACCGAAGCUAAUACCGGAUAAUCUUUAGCAUCACAUGGUGCAAAAGUAAAAGUUGGGUUUUACCUAACACUACAGGAUGGGCCCGCGGCGCAUUAGCUAGUUGGUAAGGUAACGGCUUACCAAGGCGACGAUGCGUAGCCGACCUGAGAGGGUGAUCGGCCACACUGGGACUGAGACACGGCCCAGACUCCUACGGGAGGCAGCAGUAGGGAAUCUUCCGCAAUGGACGAAAGUCUGACGGAGCAACGCCGCGUGAACGAUGAAGGCCUUCGGGUCGUAAAGUUCUGUUGUUAGGGAAGAACAAGUACCGUUCGAAUAGGGCGGUACCUUGACGGUACCUAACCAGAAAGCCACGGCUAACUACGUGCCAGCAGCCGCGGUAAUACGUAGGUGGCAAGCGUUGUCCGGAAUUAUUGGGCGUAAAGCGCGCGCAGGCGGUCUCUUAAGUCUGAUGUGAAAGCCCACGGCUCAACCGUGGAGGGUCAUUGGAAACUGGGAGACUUGAGUGCAGAAGAGGAGAGUGGAAUUCCAUGUGUAGCGGUGAAAUGCGUAGAUAUAUGGAGGAACACCAGUGGCGAAGGCGACUCUCUGGUCUGUAACUGACGCUGAGGCGCGAAAGCGUGGGGAGCAAACAGGAUUAGAUACCCUGGUAGUCCACGCCGUAAACGAUGAGUGCUAGGUGUUAGGGGUUUCGAUGCCCUUAGUGCCGAAGUUAACACAUUAAGCACUCCGCCUGGGGAGUACGACCGCAAGGUUGAAACUCAAAGGAAUUGACGGGGGCCCGCACAAGCAGUGGAGCAUGUGGUUUAAUUCGAAGCAACGCGAAGAACCUUACCAGGUCUUGACAUCCUUUGACAACCCUAGAGAUAGGGCUUUCCCCUUCGGGGGACAAAGUGACAGGUGGUGCAUGGUUGUCGUCAGCUCGUGUCGUGAGAUGUUGGGUUAAGUCCCGCAACGAGCGCAACCCUUGAUCUUAGUUGCCAGCAUUCAGUUGGGCACUCUAAGGUGACUGCCGGUGACAAACCGGAGGAAGGUGGGGAUGACGUCAAAUCAUCAUGCCCCUUAUGACCUGGGCUACACACGUGCUACAAUGGAUGGUACAAAGGGCAGCAAAACCGCGAGGUUGAGCCAAUCCCAUAAAGCCAUUCUCAGUUCGGAUUGUAGGCUGCAACUCGCCUACAUGAAGCCGGAAUUGCUAGUAAUCGCGGAUCAGCAUGCCGCGGUGAAUACGUUCCCGGGCCUUGUACACACCGCCCGUCACACCACGAGAGUUUGUAACACCCGAAGUCGGUGGGGUAACCUUUAUGGAGCCAGCCGCCUAAGGUGGGACAGAUGAUUGGGGUGAAGUCGUAACAAGGUAGCCGUAUCGGAAGGUGCGGCUGGAUCACCUCCUUU